Molecule: ribosomal RNA, 497 nt
Filed under: uncultured bacterium
Lineage: Bacteria
Description: partial 16S ribosomal RNA
Rfam family: Bacterial small subunit ribosomal RNA
Source: RNAcentral
GAUGAACGCUGGCGGCGUGCCUAAUACAUGCAAGUCGAGCGAACAGACGAGGAGCUUGCUCCUCUGACGUUAGCGGCGGACGGGUGAGUAACACGUGGAUAACCUACCUAUAAGACUGGGAUAACUUCGGGAAACCGGAGCUAAUACCGGAUAAUAUAUUGAACCGCAUGGUUCAAUAGUGAAAGACGGUUUUGCUGUCACUUAUAGAUGGAUCCGCGCCGCAUUAGCUAGUUGGUAAGGUAACGGCUUACCAAGGCAACGAUGCGUAGCCGACCUGAGAGGGUGAUCGGCAACACUAGAACUAAGACACGGUCCAGACUCCUACGGGAGGCAGCAGUAGGGAAUCUUCCGCAAUGGGCGAAAGCUUGACGGAGCAACGCCGCGUGAGUGAUGAAGGUCUUCGGAUCGUAAAACUCUGUUAUUAGGGAAGAACAAAUGUGUAAGUAACUAUGCACGUCUUGACGGUACCUAAUCAGAAAGCCACGGCUAACUACGUG